UACAGAGGUCUCAAGCGUUGUUCGGAUUCAUUGGGCGUAAAGGGUGCGUAGGCGGCGCGGUAAGUCGGGUGUGAAAUCUCGAGGCUUAACCUCGAAACUGCAUUCGAUACUGCGGUGCUUGAGGACUGGAGAGGAGACUGGAAUUCAUGGUGUAGCAGUGAAAUGCGUAGAUAUCAUGAGGAAGACCAGUGGCGAAGGCGGGUCUCUGGACAGUUCCUGACACUGAGACACGAAGGCCAGGGGAGCAAACGGG
RNAcentral lists this ribosomal RNA (253 nucleotides) under uncultured bacterium. Its description in RNAcentral is "partial 16S ribosomal RNA". It matches the Rfam family "Bacterial small subunit ribosomal RNA", at positions 524 to 776 of the family's 1533-position model. The record is from RNAcentral.